GCCGUCCCGAGGGCAGCGCGCGGCCGCCGGGCUCCCGGGGACCGAGCUGCGAGCCGGAGGACGAGACGCGGCGCAAAGUCUCGGGGUGCAAAACUUGGCGUUCUGCGCUGCGGCUACGGGCGCGGAACUGCUGUAAUGCUUGCUGAUGAAGACGACUUUCAGGAAAGCAGUGUUGAAAUCAAAUGGGUAGAAAAAAAAAAAAAGAGUUGGUGUCAAUCCCCAGGCUUCACCAGUAAAAUGAGGCUUGAUAUCAAGGUCAGGUUUUUAAUCUCCUUUAUGAAGCUAUGUUCAGAAUGUGAAGUCAUCCAGAAGACCCAGCACUUACCCUGAUGACUGGUCUAAAAUUAAAGGCCGGACAAAAAAGACCUGAAAAAGAAUCUGGCAUGAUUCAGAAGGCAGCUUGAUGCUAUCGACUGAUGAAAAUCCAACACCAGUCUCAUGCCAACACAGACCCAGCCAAAUAUAAACAACAAAAUUAAAUUAAAAUCAUCCUCAAAAUUUACAAAGGUAUAACCCCCUCAA
Molecule: long non-coding RNA, 522 nt
Organism: Bubalus bubalis (water buffalo)
Lineage: Eukaryota; Metazoa; Chordata; Mammalia; Artiodactyla; Bovidae
Exons: 3
Source: RefSeq, a predicted model, not a curated record